GGCGAGAGACCGAUAGCGAACAAGUACCGUGAGGGAAAGAUGAAAAGAACUUUGAAAAGAGAGUCAAACAGUACGUGAAAUUGUUGAAAGGGAAACGAUUGAAGCCAGUCGUACCGACGGGAAUUCAACUUUUUGAGCGCUUGUCGUGGGUGAUGUAGAGCCUCACGGCCUUCGUUGCUUUGCGUUAUGGUGCUUUUAGGGUGUACUUUUCCGUAUGGUAGGUCAAUAUCGAUUUUGGUCGUCAUAAAA
Molecule: ribosomal RNA, 249 nt
Filed under: uncultured Glomus
Lineage: Eukaryota; Fungi; Glomeromycota; Glomeromycetes; Glomerales; Glomeraceae
Description: partial 23S ribosomal RNA
Rfam family: Eukaryotic large subunit ribosomal RNA
Source: RNAcentral